Molecule: long non-coding RNA, 393 nt
Organism: Vigna angularis (adzuki bean)
Lineage: Eukaryota; Viridiplantae; Streptophyta; Magnoliopsida; Fabales; Fabaceae
Exons: 4
Source: RefSeq, a predicted model, not a curated record
CCCGAAUCAUGAUAACAUGAGGUGGGAUACUUGGGGAAGGUUUACAGAAAGAAGUGUUGCAUAUCAACCAUGGAUUUGGACUGCAGGGAACCAUGAAAUUGAUUUUGCUCCAGAAAUUGGUGAAACCGUACCUUUUCAAAUGGUGCCAAAUAGCAUUUUGCAUUUGGCAUUUGCACUCCUAUAAAAGAUCAAUCAGCCCCUGUUUAUAUCACCAUUGGUGAUGGAGGAAACCUUGAAGGCUUAGCAACCAAAAUUGCGGACUGCUAUAUUUUCUAAGGAUGCACUGCAAACAAUUAGAUUAGUAUCAAGGAAGGAAAGAAGAACUGUGGCCAACAUUGAACCAACUGCUUAGAGAUGAGGAUGAUACAACUGUCUCUACGCCUUAUACUACUG